AUUGAACGCUGGCGGCAUGCCUAACACAUGCAAGUCGAACGGUAACAGGUUUAAGGGUAACCUUAGAUGCUGACGAGUGGCGGACGGGUGAGUAAUACGUAGGAAUCAGUCUAUCAGAUUGGGACAACUCGGGGAAACCCGAGCUAAUACCGAAUACGUCCUGAGGGAGAAAGGUAGGGAUCGAAAGACCUGCCGCUGAGAGGGGAGCCUACGUCGGAUUAGCUAGUUGGUAGGGUAAUGGCCUACCAUGGCGACGAUCCGUAGCUGUUCUGAGAGGAAGAUCAGCCACACUGGGACUGAGACACGGCCCAGACUCCUACGGGAGGCAGCAGUGGGGAAUAUUGGACAAUGGGGGCAACCCUGAUCCAGCAAUGCCGCGUGUGUGAAGAAGGCCUGAGGGUUGUAAAGCACUUUUGUUAAGGAAGAAGUGUAUCUGUUUAAGAGAUGAGUACAUUGACGUUACUUAAGGAAAAAGCACCGGCUAACUCUGUGCCAGCUGCCGCGGUUAUACAGAGGGGGCAAGCGUUAAUCGGAAUCACUGGGCGUGAAGGGUGCGUAGGCGGAUUACUAAGUCAUGUGUGAAAGCCCCUGGCUUAACCUGGGAACUGCGAUUGUGACUGCAAGGCUAUAGGUGUCAUAGGGG
Molecule: ribosomal RNA, 643 nt
Filed under: uncultured Gammaproteobacteria bacterium
Lineage: Bacteria; Pseudomonadati; Pseudomonadota; Gammaproteobacteria
Description: bacterial SSU rRNA
Rfam family: Bacterial small subunit ribosomal RNA
Source: RNAcentral